UAUAUUAUGGUGUAAAAGCACAGUGAAUUUUGAUUUCAUCGGUAGUGAUUUAAGUUACUUGAUAUAU
This 67-nucleotide transfer RNA is filed under the name Stimulopalpus japonicus. RNAcentral describes it as "tRNA-Gln". The record is from RNAcentral. Lineage: Eukaryota; Metazoa; Arthropoda; Insecta; Psocodea; Amphientomidae.